AAUAUAGGGGUGGGGUCCGCGCGUCAAAAAAAAAGGUUGGGCCGGGCCCCGCCACGCGCGCACCCCUUGCCCUUCGGCCCCCACGUCCGGGGGGGCCCGCUAAGAUGCCGACCGGGGCCAACCCGGAGGAAGGGGGGGACGCCGCCAGGUCACCCAGCCCCUUAUGCCCUGGGCUCCCCCCGCCGCUCCAACGGAGGGUACAAGGGGCUGCGAACCCGCGGGGAAAAGCCACUCCCCGAAGGCCGGUCCCAGGCCGGCUCCCUUUGUUGCGCCUCGGGGGAAAGAACCCCUAUUUAUUUUUGGGAAGGGGGGAGCAAAAGGUAUACUAUAGGGGGGAAGGAUC
This 343-nucleotide ribosomal RNA is filed under the name uncultured vent bacterium. RNAcentral's name for it is "partial 16S ribosomal RNA". It matches the Rfam family "Bacterial small subunit ribosomal RNA", at positions 1040 to 1372 of the family's 1533-position model. The record is from RNAcentral.